Dermacentor andersoni is the source of this 2656-nucleotide long non-coding RNA. RefSeq lists it as uncharacterized. Lineage: Eukaryota; Metazoa; Arthropoda; Arachnida; Ixodida; Ixodidae. The record is from RefSeq and is a predicted model, not a curated record.
CAAAAUGCCAUGGGGAUGAGAGUAGCCAAAAGUGAUAGGAAAUUGUAUUUAUGAUAUAUAUACAGAGAGAGACGGCUGCAGGCUAAAUGGCAGAAGAACACGAGCGCUACUCUGAUCACCAUCUUCACCGAAUUUCUGGCGCAUUUGUCCAUGCUCGGCAGGAUGCGUGCUUCAGUGCGCAGGAAUAGCGUGUAACAAUAUUUUGUGCACUAUUGCUACAUCAAAGGUAAAGAGAAACUGUUGCGGCAGGCGUACAUUCAAACGUGUUUUUCAUAUCUAAAAAAGCAUACAGAUCACCAACUUAUUGUUUCAAGCUCAGUUUAGAGCAGGCUGUUUUAGGUCGGACUUGGUAUGGUUUAAGACAAAAAUAGUCCAGCAACAGCACGCUGCAGCCGAGGAACGAGUGUUGGCGCGCAUCAGAGCUUCUGUCCAGUGGUUGCGUGCCUUUUUCCUCCAACCAAUGCGAAACGACGCGUUCGCUUGUCAGCACGUGUUGAAGGGUGCCGACGCAUGCCACUGCUGGGUGUUAACAGUGCAAAACGUAGAUGGGACACGAGAUGAGAAGAAGACACCGCGAGCGCUGAUUGCUAGAAUAGCAGCUUGGGUUUGUUGGUUUUUGAUCCUGGUGUUAACGGCACAAAAUGCAGAUGGAACACGAGCCGAGAAGAUGACAUACACGAGGCAGCGCUCGUGGUGUUGUCUUCUCGUCUCGUGUCCCCGGUCGAGCUCCUGUCAAUUGUCAAGAACAUUGCAAGAUGUGCGCCUGAGGAUGAAAAAAGCUUGUGUAUUUCAGGAGUAAAUUGUCUCGCGGGGAAGUGGUCAAAGCAGAACCAGCAGCUGGAUGUUAAGAGAACCGUCGAGUACCUCAAGCAGAAUUAUCUGGUUGAUCUGGUUUUAAUAAUUUCUGAUAACGAAGGUAGUUUUGCUGUUCUGCCCAAUUCGUCAUAUCGUCAGAAACUGAGGGAAGCUGCUGCAAAAAAUUUUACCAUCAAGACGCGCACUGCUGCUAAGCUCAAAAAGCUAGCAUUGGGUCUGUGCGAUAGGUGUAACCUGAAAAAUCUUGGUUUGGCUAUCAAGGAUGCGAAAAGCGGAGUGCUUAGCAUUUUCUUCUUCGCAAAAACCCAUAAAGAAGACGUUCCUUUCUGAGCCAUCGUAUCUGAGCGUGAUACAUGGCAGGGGACUGUCUCUAAGUUUCUGCAGAAACACUUGCACUUGCUCAGAAUUGAGGACCCAUUCAUGAUAAAAAAUUCUGAAGAGCUUAUUGCAUUUCUUUGUGAUCAGGAAGCCUCGAGGAAAUCGUUGUUUCCGUUUUCCAUUGACAUUAUUGACCUAUUUUAUUCCAUUCCACAAGAUAAAUUGCUUUGUGCUAUUAGGGAUUCCACUGAUGACUACGGCCCAGUGGCUUUUCAGAACGCGUGUGGCGUAAAAGUGUGGACAACUUUAUAGAAAUUCUUCGUUUCUAUCUUGCAUCGACCAUCAUUAAUUUCGAAGGAAAAAAACUUCAUCCAGAAGCACGGCACGUGCAUUGGUUCCUGUAUUGCCUCUUUAUUAAAUGACAUCCUUUUAUCAUAUCUUGACAAGCGAAUUGCUGAAUGCCUUGACACAACCUACUCGGCUAAGAUAUUUAGAUAUGUUGACGACUAUGCCAGUUUUUUAAAAGGGGUAUCGAGAGGAGGGGGUUCAACUGCAGUGAACCGUGUUCUUGAAAUUUUCCGCAAGAGCGCCUUUGGGUUGAAUUUCAUUAUUGCGUUGCCUUCGCAUGGAUGCCUGCAGUUCCUAGACAUUUGCAUUGUUAUUGCUGGAUCCUAUGCAUGCUGGAGGUAUCGGCCUCGCUCAAAAAAAGGUAUUUUAAACUACCAGUCCGCUUAUUCGAAGCUUGUCAAAAGGGGAAUAGCAAGAAACUGCCCGCGUGCUGCUAAGCAUGAAAUGCAACUUAGCGUGCUUUUUCAGCUGCUAAGACUGCACAGCGCAGGAUUUCACUGUGAGAUGGUCACCUCGGUGCUAGAAGCCCUUGCCAAGGAAGCACGGGGCCCAUCAGAGCUCCACCCAAGCGAAGAGCCGCAACACCGGAGACCUGUUGCCACCUCAUACUACCACCAAAUCUCUCACCGCCUCAGAAAGGUGGCUUAAAAAUGUGAAGUCCCGGUGGUUCUUACGGUGCCCAAGAAAGUGGCGGGCAUGUGCACCAUGGUGCCGGGAACGAAGAAAAGGAAUGAAUGCAGUAUCAAGCACGUUGACAGUACCCAAAGCAGCCACAAUACCUCCAUUCGAAGUAGUAAUCAACAGGUUACAGAGGCUCCUUCUAUAACUAGCGAUGAAGUUACAAGGGCCUUAUAAGACAUGAAACGAAGAAAAGCCGCAGGAGAAGAUGGACUACCAGUCGAUUCAAUCGAAGAUGGAGGAGCAUCUCCAAGAGAAUGAGGAUGCCAGAGUGGGACCAUUGCAGAAGCAGUCAAGUGACCUGGCUGCACCGUUCUCUGAUGAAUGUGCACAUGCAAUUCAAGGAAGGACAUUUUCAAAUGCCCAUUCUGUGACCAAAGGCAUGCUACCAUGUGCCAACAGGCCCUAGUUCACAUGGGCUCUCCCAUGCUUCCGAAUCUCGCCGGCAACAUGUCAACGCUGCUCAUCACACGCUGUAUUACUGCAGAAAAUAAAG